UACAGAUUCUUAUUCUAAUAACUACGAAUAACUAACUCAAAGUAUAAUUUCAUUGACAACAAAUCAUAUACAUUAAACAGUAAACGAGUAAAUGCAAAUACGCGCAUAUUAUAUUAUAUUUAUUUUGGUAAAUAUUUAUUUUCAAGUAUGAACAAUUGUAUUUAUCAUCUACCACUCAGUACUGUUUAGACAAAUAUGUCACCUUUUUUUAACACAAAUAAUGUCGCCAAUAUAAUAUUUUUGCCACAAUUCGAUACAGUUAUGAAAAUGCACAAAUGUGCGAUGUAAUAUUUUUUUUUGUGCGCGUCAAACGUGCAUUAAAGUACAAUAUUUUCCUCCUACUCAUUAUGUUUACCAUCGUUUAUGGCUCUAUAAUUAGUGUUCCUAGCAUUAUUAAGUGCCCGAAAGGAAUGCAGAGAGUCGCGUCAUCUUGCGUGAUGAUAAGUGACACGGUAGAAUUCUUGGAUACUCCCGACAGUGUUAAUACAAUACAUCAAGAUCAAAUGGAUUUAAAUAAUUUGUACGAAUAUUAAACACAUUAUUAAAAUAACUGCGAAUCCAAGGUCUGAUAAUAUGAAAUAAAUGAAAAGCAUUGUUUUUAUUAUUAUUAUUACAAUUAUUGUUAGAACGUAGCAAUUUCUUUUUCUUUUCGCUUCAUUUUGUUUUUUUUUUUUUUUU
Molecule: long non-coding RNA, 678 nt
Organism: Aphis gossypii (cotton aphid)
Lineage: Eukaryota; Metazoa; Arthropoda; Insecta; Hemiptera; Aphididae
Exons: 2
Source: RefSeq, a predicted model, not a curated record